AUUGAACGCUGGCGGCAUGCCUUACACAUGCAAGUCGAACGGCAGCACGGGUGCUUGCACCUGGUGGCGAGUGGCGAACGGGUGAGUAAUACAUCGGAACAUGUCCUGUAGUGGGGGAUAGCCCGGCGAAAGCCGGAUUAAUACCGCAUACGAUCUACGGAUGAAAGCGGGGGACCUUCGGGCCUCGCGCUGUCGGGUUGGCCGAUGGCUGAUUAGCUAGUUGGUGUGGUAAAGGCCUACCAAGGCGACGAUCAGUAGCUGGUCUGAGAGGACGACCAGCCACACUGGGACUGAGACACGGCCCAGACUCCUACGGGAGGCAGCAGUGGGGAAUUUUGGACAAUGGGCGAAAGCCUGAUCCAGCAAUGCCGCGUGUGUGAAGAAGGCCUUCGGGUUGUAAAGCACUUUUGUCCGGAAAGAAAUCCUUGGCCCUAAUACGGUCGGGGGAUGACGGUACCGGAAGAAUAAGCACCGGCUAACUACGUG
RNAcentral lists this ribosomal RNA (486 nucleotides) under uncultured bacterium. Its description in RNAcentral is "partial 16S ribosomal RNA". It matches the Rfam family "Bacterial small subunit ribosomal RNA", at positions 30 to 507 of the family's 1533-position model. The record is from RNAcentral.